Molecule: ribosomal RNA, 261 nt
Filed under: uncultured prokaryote
Description: partial 16S ribosomal RNA
Rfam family: Bacterial small subunit ribosomal RNA
Source: RNAcentral
UACGUAGGGUGCGAGCGUUGUCCGGAAUUAUUGGGCGUAAAGAGCUUGUAGGCGGUUUGUCGCGUCUGCUGUGAAAAUCCGGGGCUCAACCCCGGACUUGCAGUGGGUACGGGCAGACUAGAGUGUGGUAGGGGAGACUGGAAUUCCUGGUGUAGCGGUGAAAUGCGCAGAUAUCAGGAGGAACACCGAUGGCGAAGGCAGGUCUCUGGGCCACUACUGACGCUGAGAAGCAAAAGCAUGGGGAGCGAACAGGAUUAGAUA